This 459-nucleotide ribosomal RNA is filed under the name uncultured bacterium. RNAcentral describes it as "partial 16S ribosomal RNA". It matches the Rfam family "Bacterial small subunit ribosomal RNA", at positions 338 to 795 of the family's 1533-position model. The record is from RNAcentral.
CCUACGGGUGGCAGCAGUGAGGAAUAUUGGUCAAUGGGCGGGAGCCUGAACCAGCCAAGCCGCGUGAGGGAAGAAGGUACAGCAUAUCGUAAACAUCUUUUGUCAGGGAACAAGGGCGGGGACUAGUCCCCGUAUGAGGGUACCUGAAGAAAAAGCAUCGGCUAACUACGUGCCAGCAGCCGCGGUAAUACGGAGGAGGCGAUCGUUAUCCGGAUUUAUUUGGUUUAACGGGUGCGAAGGCGGCCUGUUAAGUCAGCGGGAAAAGCCCGGGGCUCAACCCCGGCGAGCGGUUGAAACUGGCGGGCGGGAGUUGGAGAGAGGUACGCGGAAUGCGUGGUGUAGCGGUGAAAUGCUUAGAUAUCGCGCAGAACCCCGAUUGCGAAGGCAGCGUACCGGCUCCACACUGACGCUGAGGCACGAAAGCGUGGGUAUCGAACAGGAUUAGAUACCCGAGUAGUC